This 1515-nucleotide long non-coding RNA is filed under the name Macaca fascicularis (crab-eating macaque). RNAcentral describes it as "lncRNA (ENSMFAG00000056074.1)". Lineage: Eukaryota; Metazoa; Chordata; Mammalia; Primates; Cercopithecidae. The record is from RNAcentral.
AGCAGCCAUUUUUUUCAGGGCUGAUAGGAUAUCAUUAAGAGUAUCUUAUGAGACAUUAGUGGAUAUACUCAUAAUACAGUAACCAUAUUUAUAGUUUUAAAGAGCUAGCUCUUGAGCAUUAGUCACUCAGUACCUUCAGCUUGAUGCAUGGUCACUUCUUUACUAUUUAAACUAUUACACAUGGUACAAAAUAUCAAAGACACUACCAUAUUCUAAAGGAAGAAAUCUAGCUGGGAUGUAGGCUUUUUUUGUUUUUGCUUUUGUUUUUGUUUUUGUUUUUUUGUUUGUUUUGCUGUUUAGCAAUAACAUGGUCAAAAAAGGCAAUCAGAAGUUUUAAAUGCAGUUAAUGGAUACAUUUGUCAAGAAUUUCCCCCCCAGGGUUUUCCAUGGUGUACUUUGCAAGAAAUAAGCAUUCUAAUUUUUAAAUCUCUUUAGCAAAUAUUGUAUUUUAUGACAGUGGAGUUCUGGAAAGCAGCAUCUGUUUUUCGUUGCGUGUUUCCAUUUUAAAGUGAGUUCUCAAAUUGGAAAGAAAAAUUCCUUGAGACUUACUUUAAAAUCUAAAGUGUGAAAGAAACAGCAGAGUGAAAGCCAGACUCAUUGCACCUUUGAUGUCUGCAUAGAUCCAGAAGUUGGACAUUUUACCUAACAACAUCACUUUUGUUAAACAUUCCAACUCCAAAACGAUCCCCAGUCACUUUAAUCUCAGAAUGUUGGAAUGAUGUCUGUUGGAAAACCCAGGACUCCACAUACAAAACUGCUAAGAUUUUGUUUCCCAUCUCUUUCUAGGUGUUUGCAAUGUACAAAUAAUACAGCUGUGCUAAUCUCACAUUUAGCCAUGAUAGAUGAUGGUUCUAGAGUAUACUUCCAUUUGUAAGUCCUCCUGAUAAUCUUAAGCGCUUUCUUGUUUAUCACUAUGUACAUCUGAAAUAUUUUGUACUUCAUUUGUUUUUAUCCAUUCUGAAUUUUCAAAGCAUAAAAAUGUGAAAGAAAAAUUGAGAUAAACAUUUUGUUCACUAUUAUUUGCAUCUGCAAUCUAUAAUGAGAAUGAUAUUAAAUUACGACUAAAAUUUAACAAAUAGUAUUUUCUUAUAGAAGCAAUGUAUUAAAUGAUUAGAACACAGGACAGUUCACAGCAAAUUGUUUACUUACGUGGCAUAAUUGAAAUACUAUUAUUUGGAAAGAGUUCUAUAUUGCUUACCUUAGCAAACCAGAAUUGUUCAUAGACUUGUGAUAAUAUGGUGUUAUGGGAAAACAUUUCGUGCGCAUGAUGAAGAGAGCACCGUUAAUCUAGUCUUGACUGCCCCUGGUGGAACAUUUGAAAGCCCCUGGGACCCCAGGAGAGAGGUUUUUGCAGCAUGUAUGCCUGGAACACACUUGUGAGUUAGCAAGACCCUGCUGUGAUUACGCUGUUGUACAGGUCUUCAAAGUAUAUUGCCUAAUAUAAGUCAUGUUAUUUCUAGAUUGGAUUUUAAGUAAGUAUGGAUUAUGGAAGUCUAGUAAAUAUACUUUUCUCUA